AACGAACGCUGGCGGCAUGCCUAAUACAUGCAAGUCGAACGAGAUCUUCGGGUCUAGUGGCGCACGGGUGCGUAACGCGUGGGAAUCUGCCCUUUGGUUCGGAAUAACAGUUGGAAACGACUGCUAAUACCGGAUGAUGACGAAAGUCCAAAGAUUUAUCGCCAGAGGAUGAGCCCGCGUAGGAUUAGCUAGUUGGUGUGGUAAAGGCGCACCAAGGCGACGAUCCUUAGCUGGUCUGAGAGGAUGAUCAGCCACACUGGGACUGAGACACGGCCCAGACUCCUACGGGAGGCAGCAGUGGGGAAUAUUGGACAAUGGGCGAAAGCUUGAUCCAGCAAUGCCGCGUGAGUGAUGAAGGCCUUAGGGUUGUAAAGCUCUUUUACCCGGGAUGAUAAUGACAGUACCGGGAGAAUAAGCUCCGGCUAACUCCGUGCCAGCCGCCGCGGUAA
Molecule: ribosomal RNA, 449 nt
Filed under: uncultured bacterium
Lineage: Bacteria
Description: partial 16S ribosomal RNA
Rfam family: Bacterial small subunit ribosomal RNA
Source: RNAcentral